This is a non-coding RNA of Cyanistes caeruleus (blue tit), 2740 nucleotides long. The record is from RefSeq and is a predicted model, not a curated record. NCBI's taxonomy places the organism in Eukaryota, Metazoa, Chordata, Aves, Passeriformes, Paridae.
CGGCCCUCAGCGGCGGCACCGGGCCACAGGGAGCGGCGCCCGGCAGGACGCCUGCCACCUGUUCGCUCGCGUUUGAGGGCUGGUUCAAAACCACCCUCUGCAGGGAGAAAUUGGUCUGUCGUGUCCUUAGCGACGUUAGGAGCGGUAGUUGAAAUUGUGAACACGUAGUGGAGGCUCCAAUCUGGUAAACAUCUCUUGGUUUAUUUCCCAUGCAUGUCACGGUGCAGUCCCUUUAUGAGCAGUGCAGAAUAACAGCAUAAGCCUCACUCCCCACCUCAGAAAAUUCUGCUUCCAUCUGAGUAUUUUUGUAGCCUAAUAAAUUCAUGUGCGUGUCUCUUGCAGACAAUAGGGCUCAAAAUGCAAAGAUGAUUUAUGAGAAUUCCACUUUCAAACAGCUAUGUUUUAGUGCAGUAUUUCAAUAAGCAUGCAAAGAAAUUUUAGAGGAACAAAUCAUUCAUUAUUCAUGUAUGCAAGUAAAAAAAUAAAAAAACAAAAAAAUCACUGUUUGCAAAGUCUGACAGUCACUGCAGAGGAGAGGGCUGUGCAGUCCACUGCUGUCUUCCUUGUCAGCAAAGGGAAGCAGGGACCCAGCCGACUGCAUGCCACCCAUGCAAUUAGCAAAGGUCUCUUCAUCAACCAGAAAUUUGCACAGGAUGCUUGAGAGGUUGGACAGGAUGGUCAUUAAGUAAAUUAAGUUUCUGCAAAUCCAGAAACACAAGUAGUGAAAAACAAAUUCUCUGUCGUCUCUUGAGAAGACUGAAUGUCAUACAAAAGAAAUACAAGGAGAAUUAAGUGGUCCACCUCGGGCAAUACCAAUGUCUUGCAUAACCUCUGCUCUUGGGGUUUCAGCCCUAUGAGUGGAUUUCUGUAAACAUUAUACAAGCAAGGCAUGGUUUAUAGAAAGAGAUGCCUUUUAUUAGACCACGGCUGGCAAAUUGAGACUGCGUUUCAAGUACAUAAAAUAUCUUUCUUCAGUGGAAAUAGAAUUCUGUUCUAUUACCUUGAAAAUUCAAGGUCAAAUACAGCUUGGAGUCAGUUGCUCAGAGCUGAAUCAGAUGCAUGUCACAUAAUUUUGGAAGUAGAGGUCGUUGUUUCCUGCAGACUAGAAUGGAUGUUAAUAGGAAGCUAGAGGGAGUGAUAAACUCCUUGGAAUAUCCUUGGGGCAAAAGAAAAAUAGGCAGUUUACAGCCUGUGGGACACAAAAGGACUAGUGAAGGAGGAGAGGGAAGGGAAUAUCUGUGCAGGAAGAGCAGUUCUGAGUCUGUGGGCUUUGAUACCCAGUGUGUGCACCCACGGACCUUGCUGUGCCCGCAGGGCAGCCCAGCAGAGCCAGACCUUUUCCUGCUUCAGGUGUGUGCCUACCUGGAUGGAAACCAGGUCACUGAACAAAGCCAGGUACAUUCACAAGGCAGUGGGGCACACCUUGCAAAGAUGGCUGUUUGAAGGGCUGAAGAUUUGCUCAAGCAGGAUGUUUGCACAAUCUUUGCUUUAAGGAGAGCCUGUGUGGUCCUGCAUGGUCUGUGGUGACAUGGGCUGCUUGUUAGCAGAAGUCUGAAUAAAGGCAGCACAAGCAGAUUUGUCUUUGUUUCCGGCUUUACAGUUUUUAGAAGCAUUGAUGUAAGUCCAUAUCUACAUUGAAACUUCUGUUUUUUUUUCUCUCUUCCUCCCACAGUCUUUCAGAACUCUACAUUUCCCCACCAUACAGGAAUUCCCAACUGUGGAAUAAACCCAGAGCCGCCCUGGUGCCCGAUCCAGGUUCCCACUGAGGCCUGUGAUGACACUGGAGAUGGGGCAGAGCAUGAGGCCACGAGUGCCAGCCCCAAGCUGGAGCUGCUGGCCCUGGGGCAGAGCAGGCUCUGCGCAGCACAAACCAGGGCAGGGGAAGGGCAGCAGCACCACAGACAUCAGGAAGGCUCCACUGUUGCCAGCUCAUGGCUUUGUGUGGCCCCUCUCAGGGGCAGGAGGAAAAGGCUUGGCCAAGGUGAACACAGUGACGCUGCAACAGAGCAUACGAGGAGUGUGCUUUGUGGUAGUCUUUAUUUAGGAACCGUGAGUAACUACAGCCGUAGCGGUCUCAUCUUUGCAGCUCUGAUGGUUUAACAAACAGGGAGAACAUUAGCAUAUUUUUAUUAAGGUACAAAAUACACCCCGUUGUUGCCUAAAACAUUAAAAAAGUGAGGAAAGCUCUGUAUGCUCUAAAUCAGAUUCAAAACCUUUCUGUAUAAGGAAUUGUGGCAAUACUGUGUUUAGUAUAACAAGAGGUUUUUAUCAAUCAGAAAAAAGACAUGCUGGCAAUCUGAACUUAGCAACGAAGAGUAAAGCAGUUACAAACCGUUGUGUCAUCCACAUUAGUUGAACUUUGAAUGUAGAAGAGCAAAUCAUAUGAAACACAUACACAACUAGGUAAUAUCAAACAACCUAAGGUUGAUAAUGUACACACCUGUAUUAAAGUACACUGACUACUUAAUGGUGAGGAUUUAAGGUAAUGUUUUUUUUUCAAAAGAGGUAAUCUUUGAAAUGCAAAUGGUUGCACUUUACACACAAAAAGUGGAAAAGAAAAAGAAUCACUUCUGGAAUGAUACAUAGAUAUAAGACACACUGGUUUUGGAUUAUGCAUAAUCACCUUGCAGCCUCUGAUAUUACCUCUGAACAACAACAACAAAAAAUUAAAAAGUGCCAAUACUGUGAAAGGAAAGCAAAGUUACUAAGUCUGAGUGUGUUAACCAUUCUGAAAAAAAAA